AUGAGGGGGGAUAGGACCUUUAUCGGGACUCCGGGAUCGGGUGUUUUUAAGCUCGGGAUUUCGGGAUUGACCCUUUCGGGAUCCGGGAAUCCUUUUUUUCGGAUUUCGGGAUGUCGGGAUUUGCUUUAUUUAAAUUCGGGACCUCGGGAUUUCGUUUUUUCAAGUCCGGGAUUUCGGGAUCAAGACCCCUCCUAUCCCCCCUCCAUCAUGGAUAGGAGGGCUGAGAAGUUGGAUGAGCCGGUCCUUCAUUUCUAUAUUCUUUAAUUGUUCUUACUUUUUGCCCAUGUUUUGCUAUUCUUCAUAUUUUAGCACCUCAAUAUUAUAUAUUCUUUAUUUUUUCCCCCCAUUUUUCUCUAUUCUUUAUAGUUUGCCCAUUAGUAUUCUCUAUUCUGUUAACCCCACCCACGUGACUCUCCUAUAGAUGGGCGUGGUUUUUUUGGUUCUUCGGUAGUGAGCCAGAAGAGGUCAAUAUCUGUUUGUAUUUCUUUGCAUUGGAAAUAUCUUCUGUCUCUCUUCUACCUCUUCCUUUUACAUAUAUAUAGUUUAGACGACACAUGCAUAACAAACAUAAUGCGUUUAGUCUACAUAGCAUUAAUAAAUUUAUGAAUGCAGAUAUAAUAGAAUGUGAGCUGUGUGAUAAACAUUUUCAUGGUAUGGCAGCCUUAGUAGAACAUCCCUGUAGGGACGAUAAUCUGGAUGAAUAUAAAAAC
Molecule: long non-coding RNA, 710 nt
Filed under: Mytilus galloprovincialis (Mediterranean mussel)
Lineage: Eukaryota; Metazoa; Mollusca; Bivalvia; Mytilida; Mytilidae
Source: RNAcentral